RNAcentral lists this ribosomal RNA (254 nucleotides) under uncultured bacterium. RNAcentral describes it as "partial 16S ribosomal RNA". It matches the Rfam family "Bacterial small subunit ribosomal RNA", at positions 524 to 776 of the family's 1533-position model. The record is from RNAcentral.
UACGUAGGGGGCAAGCGUUGUCCGGAUUUAUUGGGCGUAAAGCGCUCGCAGGUGGUCCGAUGCGUCGUGCGUGAAAGACCCCGGCUCAACUGGGGAGGGUCGUGCGAUACGGUCGGACUGGAGGCCAGUAGGGGGAUGCGGAAUUCCGGGUGUAGUGGUGGAAUGCGUAGAGAUCCGGAGGAACACCGGUGGCGAAGGCGGCAUCCUGGACCAACACUGACGCUGAGUGAGCGAAAGCCAGGGGAGCAAACGGG